Podarcis lilfordi (Lilford's wall lizard) is the source of this 71-nucleotide non-coding RNA. NCBI's taxonomy places the organism in Eukaryota, Metazoa, Chordata, Lepidosauria, Squamata, Lacertidae. The record is from the annotation of a GenBank genome assembly.
GGAACAUAGCUCAGUGGUAGAGCAUCUGCCUUGCAUGCAAAAGGUCCGAGGUUCAGUCCCCAGCAACUCCA